Molecule: ribosomal RNA, 478 nt
Filed under: uncultured bacterium
Lineage: Bacteria
Description: bacterial SSU rRNA
Rfam family: Bacterial small subunit ribosomal RNA
Source: RNAcentral
AUUGAACGCUGGCGGCAUGCCUUACACAUGCAAGUCGAACGGUAACGGGCCUUCGGGUGCCGACGAGUGGCGAACGGGUGAGUAAUGCAUCGGAACGUACCUUUCAGUGGGGGAUAACGUAGCGAAAGUUACGCUAAUACCGCAUAUUCUGUGAGCAGGAAAGCAGGGGAUCGCAAGACCUUGCGCUGAUUGAGCGGCCGAUGUCAGAUUAGCUAGUUGGUGAGGUAAAGGCUCACCAAGGCGACGAUCUGUAGCGGGUCUGAGAGGAUGAUCCGCCACACUGGAACUGAGACACGGUCCAGACUCCUACGGGAGGCAGCAGUGGGGAAUUUUGGACAAUGGGGGCAACCCUGAUCCAGCCAUGCCGCGUGAGUGAAGAAGGCCUUCGGGUUGUAAACUUCUUUACUAUGCGACUAACUAGAUUUACGAGAUAAUUCUAUAGAAUGUAGCAUAGCAAAAAGCACCGGCUAACUCCGUG